GUGACUGCGUACCUUUUGUAUAAUGGGUCAGCGACUUAUAUUCUGUAGCAAGGUUAACCGAAUAGGGGAGCCGGAGGGAAACCGAGUCUUAAUUGGGCGUUAAGUUGCAGGGUAUAGACCCGAAACCCGGUGAUCUAGCCAUGGGCAGGUUGAAGGUUGGGUAACACUAACUGGAGGACCGAACCGACUAAUGUUGAAAAAUUAGCGGAUGACCUGUGGCUGGGGGUGAAAGGCCAAUCAAACCGGGAGAUAGCUGGUUCUCCCCGAAAGCUAUUUAGGUAGCGCCUCGUGAAUUCAUCUCCGGGGGUAGAGCACUGUUUCGGCUAGGGGGCCAUCCCGGCUUACCAACCCGAUGCAAACUGCGAAUACCGGAGAAUGUUAUCACGGGAGACACACGGCGGGUGCUAACGUCCGUCGUGAAGAGGGAAACAACCCAGACCGCCAGCUAAGGUCCCAAAGUCAUGGUUAAGUGGGAAACGAUGUGGGAAGGCCCAGACAGCCAGGAUGUUGGCUUAGAAGCAGCCAUCAUUUAAAGAAAGCGUAAUAGCUCACUGGUCGAGUCGGCCUGCGCGGAAGAUGUAACGGGGCUAAACCAUGCACCGAAGCUGCGGCAGCGAACGUAUCACUUAAAGCGAUUCAGCGGGUUACGAUUGACGGAGCGAAGCGACGUCAAAGCGUAUACAAAGUCGAGUCGGUUUAAGGAUACGUUCGUUGGGUAGGGGAGCGUUCUGUAAGCCUGUGAAGGUGUGUCGUGAGGCAUGCUGGAGGUAUCAGAAGUGCGAAUGCUGACAUAAGUAACGAUAAAGCGGGUGAAAAGCCCGCUCGCCGGAAGACCAAGGGUUCCUGUCCAACGUUAAUCGGGGCAGGGUGAGUCGACCCCUAAGGCGAGGCCGAAAGGCGUAGUCGAUGGGAAACGGGUUAAUAUUCCCGUACUUGGUGUUACUGCGAAGGGGGGACGGAGAAGGCUAUGUUGGCCGGGCGACGGUUGUCCCGGUUUAAGCGUGUAGGUGUGUGUUCCAGGUAAAUCCGGUUCACUUUAACACUGAGGCGUGAUGACGAGGCACUACGGUGCUGAAGCAACAAAUGCCCUGCUUCCAGGAAAAGCCUCUAAGCAUCAGGUAACAUCAAAUCGUACCCCAAACCGACACAGGUGGUCAGGUAGAGAAUACCAAGGCGCUUGAGAGAACUCGGGUGAAGGAACUAGGCAAAAUGGUGCCGUAACUUCGGGAGAAGGCACGCUGACACGUAGGUGAAGUGAUUUACUCAUGGAGCUGAAGUCAGUCGAAGAUACCAGCUGGCUGCAACUGUUUAUUAAAAACACAGCACUGUGCAAACACGAAAGUGGACGUAUACGGUGUGACGCCUGCCCGGUGCCGGAAGGUUAAUUGAUGGGGUCAGCGCAAGCGAAGCUCCUGAUCGAAGCCCCGGUAAACGGCGGCCGUAACUAUAACGGUCCUAAGGUAGCGAAAUUCCUUGUCGGGUAAGUUCCGACCUGCACGAAUGGCGUAAUGAUGGCCAGGCUGUCUCCACCCGAGACUCAGUGAAAUUGAACUCGCUGUGAAGAUGCAGUGUACCCGCGGCAAGACGGAAAGACCCCGUGAACCUUUACUAUAGCUUGACACUGAACAUUGAGCCUUGAUGUGUAGGAUAGGUGGGAGGCUUUGAAGCGUGGACGCCAGUCUGCGUGGAGCCGACCUUGAAAUACCACCCUUUAAUGUUUGAUGUUCUAACGUGGACCCGUAAUCCGGGUUGCGGACAGUGUCUGGUGGGUAGUUUGACUGGGGCGGUCUCCUCCUAAAGAGUAACGGAGGAGCACGAAGGUUGGCUAAUCCUGGUCGGACAUCAGGAGGUUAGUGCAAUGGCAUAAGCCAGCUUGACUGCGAGCGUGACGGCGCGAGCAGGUGCGAAAGCAGGUCAUAGUGAUCCGGUGGUUCUGAAUGGAAGGGCCAUCGCUCAACGGAUAAAAGGUACUCCGGGGAUAACAGGCUGAUACCGCCCAAGAGUUCAUAUCGACGGCGGUGUUUGGCACCUCGAUGUCGGCUCAUCACAUCCUGGGGCUGAAGUAGGUCCCAAGGGUAUGGCUGUUCGCCAUUUAAAGUGGUACGCGAGCUGGGUUUAGAACGUCGUGAGACAGUUCGGUCCCUAUCUGCCGUGGGCGCUGGAGAACUGAGGGGGGCUGCUCCUAGUACGAGAGGACCGGAGUGGACGCAUCACUGGUGUUCGGGUUGUCAUGCCAAUGGCACUGCCCGGUAGCUAAAUGCGGAAGAGAUAAGUGCUGAAAGCAUCUAAGCACGAAACUUGCCCCGAGAUGAGUUCUCCCUGAGACUUAGAGUCUCCUGAAGGAACGUUGAAGACGACGACGUUGAUAGGCCGGGUGUGUAAGCGCAGCGAUGCGUUGAGCUAACCGGUACUAAUGAACCGUGAGGCUUAACCUU
RNAcentral lists this ribosomal RNA (2435 nucleotides) under Salmonella enterica subsp. enterica serovar Infantis. RNAcentral describes it as "bacterial LSU rRNA". It matches the Rfam family "Bacterial large subunit ribosomal RNA", at positions 593 to 2925 of the family's 2925-position model. The record is from RNAcentral. Lineage: Bacteria; Pseudomonadati; Pseudomonadota; Gammaproteobacteria; Enterobacterales; Enterobacteriaceae.